ACUCAAAUGAAUUGACGGGGGCCCGCACAAGCGGUGGAACAUGUGGUUUAAUUCGACACUACGCGAGGAACCUUACCUAGGCUUGACAUACAUAUGACAGUCGUAGAAACACGAUCUUCUAGGCUUCGGUCUAGACAUAUGAACAGGUGCUGCAUGGCUGUCGUCAGCUCGUGUCGUGAGAUGUUGGGUUAAGUCCUUUAACGAGCGCAACCCUUGCUAUCAGUUGCUACUUGCUUUGCAAGGCACUCUGAUGGGACUGCCUGGGAAACCAGGAGGAAGGUGGGGAUGACGUCAAGUCCUCAUGGCCCUUAUGCCUAGGGCCACACACGUGUUACAAUGGUUGGUACAACGGGCUGCUAACUCGUAAGAGCAUGCUAAUCCCUUAAAACCAAUCUAAGUUCAGAUUGAGGUCUGCAACUCGACCUCAUGAAGUUGAAAUCGCUAGUAAUCGCGCAUCAGAACGGCGCGGUGAAUACGUUCUCGGGCCUUGUACACACCGCCCGU
RNAcentral lists this ribosomal RNA (504 nucleotides) under uncultured bacterium. RNAcentral describes it as "partial 16S ribosomal RNA". It matches the Rfam family "Bacterial small subunit ribosomal RNA", at positions 899 to 1397 of the family's 1533-position model. The record is from RNAcentral.